CUGCAGCUCAAGUGGUGAUCAUUAUUAUUGGGCCUAAAACGUCCGUAGCCGGUUUAGUAAAUGCCUGGGUAAAUCGUGUAGCUUAACUAUACGACUUCCGGGUAGACUGCUAAACUUGAGACCGGGAGAGGCUAGAGGUACUCCUGGGGUAGAGGUGAAAUUCUGUAAUCCUAGGGGGACCACCAGUGGUGAAGGCGUCUAGCUAGAACGGGUCUGACGGUGAGGGACGAAGCCCUGGGGCACAAACCGGAUUAGAUACCCGAGUAGUCC
This 270-nucleotide ribosomal RNA is filed under the name uncultured archaeon. RNAcentral describes it as "partial 16S ribosomal RNA". It matches the Rfam family "Archaeal small subunit ribosomal RNA", at positions 477 to 747 of the family's 1478-position model. The record is from RNAcentral.